This is a long non-coding RNA of Mytilus californianus (California mussel), 1011 nucleotides long. RefSeq lists it as uncharacterized. NCBI's taxonomy places the organism in Eukaryota, Metazoa, Mollusca, Bivalvia, Mytilida, Mytilidae. The transcript is spliced from 5 exons. The record is from RefSeq and is a predicted model, not a curated record.
AAUCGGAACAACUUGGGUUUUCCCAUGAUAUAGAAAAACUACCGAUAGUCUCCGAUAUAAUAUUGUGACCAACAAAAUCCAACAUGGCAGCCUCCAUAAUAUAUGAUAUUCAAUUAAAUUUUCAACUGCAAUUUGUUAGAGGGUCACAGAGUGUUUGUGGUGUUGCCAACGGAAUGUUUGCACAGGACUUCCUGAAUUAUUCAAAAAGGAACACUAUAAAAGCCGUUUUGGUUAUCUCUCCAUUGGUACCUCUGAUGAAAGACUAGAGAGAACAAUUUGUUCAACAAGGAAAAGAGUGGGUAUCGUGGAGAAAAACUAGAUAAAGAAAAAUCCAGCUAGAUCGGCAUGACAGAAGAGAGCAGAUAACUGAAAACACUGGAAAUGUUCAUGCAUGCUCAAGACGAGAACAAAUCAACACUGAAUACAAUAGAAAAAUCCAGCUAGAUCGGCAUGACAGAAGAGAGCAGAUAACUGAAAACACUGGAAAUGUUCAUGCAUGCUCAAGACGAGAACAAAUCAACACUGAAUACAAUAGAAAAAUCCAGCUAGAUCGGCAUGACAGAAGAGAGCAGAUAACUGAAUACACUGGAAAUGUUCAUGCAUGCUCAAGACGAGAACAAAUCAACACUGAAUACAAUAGGCAUGUGUGGAACAGGGCAGACAAGUAUUGUGAAGUAUGAGUAUAUUUCAUCACACAUGAUCUUAAAUUAGUUAAAUAUGAGUGAUAAAACAUGAUGCAAAAAAUACUGAAAAUUGGCGCAAGUUACUUUCUGGUCGUAUGCCCGGUUUGCCUCGUGGCCCAUGAGGCAUAAAGAUUGUAAUUUGAUCUUAACAUGAAAUAGGCAAAAGUAGAAUAGGGAAAAUAUUAUUUUUGAAGUAUGAUUUUAUUUUAUUCACGUAUGAAUUAAAAUUCUUGAUAAAACUUGAUGAAAAGAUAUUGGAACAUGUUUCGUUUUUGUCGUAUGCCCGGGACGUAUGCCUGGUAUAGCCUCUUGGUCCUCUCAUUUAUAA